RNAcentral lists this ribosomal RNA (350 nucleotides) under uncultured archaeon. RNAcentral's name for it is "bacterial SSU rRNA". It matches the Rfam family "Archaeal small subunit ribosomal RNA", at positions 823 to 1170 of the family's 1478-position model. The record is from RNAcentral.
GCCGCCUGGGAAGUACGUACGCAAGUAUGAAACUUAAAGGAAUUGGCGGGGGAGCACCACAAGGGGUGAAGCCUGCGGUUCAAUUGGAGUCAACGCCAGAAAUCUUACNNNNGGAGACAGCAGAAUGAAGGUCAAGCUGAAGACUUUACCAGACACGCUGAGAGGUGGUGCAUGGCCGUCGCCAGCUCGUGCCGUGAGAUGUCCUGUUAAGUCAGGUAACGAGCGAGACCCCUGCGUCUAGUUGCUACCAUUACUCUCUGGAGCAGUGGAGCGAAUUAGACGGACCGCCACAGUUAAUGUGGAGGAAGGAAGGGGCCACGGCAGGUCAGUAUGCCCCGAAACCCUAGGGC